Molecule: non-coding RNA, 73 nt
Organism: Potamilus streckersoni
Lineage: Eukaryota; Metazoa; Mollusca; Bivalvia; Unionida; Unionidae
Source: the annotation of a GenBank genome assembly
GGUCCGGUGGCCUACUCGGUAGAGCAUCCGCCUUAGAAGCGGGAGGUCUCGGAUUCGGACCCCAACCGAAUCA